RNAcentral lists this ribosomal RNA (1014 nucleotides) under uncultured bacterium. RNAcentral's name for it is "bacterial SSU rRNA". It matches the Rfam family "Bacterial small subunit ribosomal RNA", at positions 355 to 1375 of the family's 1533-position model. The record is from RNAcentral.
UGGGGAAUAUUGCACAAUGGGCGCAAGCCUGAUGCAGCGACGCCGCGUGCGGGAUGACGGCCUUCGGGUUGUAAACCGCUUUUGACUGGGAGCAAGCCCUUCGGGGUGAGUGUACCUUUCGAAUAAGCACCGGCUAACUACGUGCCAGCAGCCGCGGUAAUACGUAGGGUGCAAGCGUUAUCCGGAAUUAUUGGGCGUAAAGGGCUCGUAGGCGGUUCGUCGCGUCCGGUGUGAAAGUCCAUCGCUUAACGGUGGAUCCGCGCCGGGUACGGGCGGGCUUGAGUGCGGUAGGGGAGACUGGAAUUCCCGGUGUAACGGUGGAAUGUGUAGAUAUCGGGAAGAACACCAAUGGCGAAGGCAGGUCUCUGGGCCGUCACUGACGCUGAGGAGCGAAAGCGUGGGGAGCGAACAGGAUUAGAUACCCUGGUAGUCCACGCCGUAAACGGUGGAUGCUGGAUGUGGGGACCAUUCCACGGUCUCCGUGUCGGAGCUAACGCGUUAAGCAUCCCGCCUGGGGAGUACGGCCGCAAGGCUAAAACUCAAAGAAAUUGACGGGGGCCCGCACAAGCGGCGGAGCAUGCGGAUUAAUUCGAUGCAACGCGAAGAACCUUACCUGGGCUUGACAUGUUCCCGACGGUCGUAGAGAUACGGCUUCCCUUCGGGGCGGGUUCACAGGUGGUGCAUGGUCGUCGUCAGCUCGUGUCGUGAGAUGUUGGGUUAAGUCCCGCAACGAGCGCAACCCUCGCCCCGUGUUGCCAGCGGAUUAUGCCGGGAACUCACGGGGGACCGCCGGGGUUAACUCGGAGGAAGGUGGGGAUGACGUCAGAUCAUCAUGCCCCUUACGUCCAGGGCUUCACGCAUGCUACAAUGGCCGGUACAACGGGAUGCGACGCGGCGACGCGGAGCGGAUCCCUGAAAACCGGUCUCAGUUCGGAUCGCAGUCUGCAACUCGACUGCGUGAAGGCGGAGUCGCUAGUAAUCGCGAAUCAGCAACGUCGCGGUGAAUGCGUUCCC